UACGUAGGCAGCGAGCGUUGUUCGGAAUUACUGGGCGUAAAGAGUGUGUAGGCGGUGCUCCCAGUCUGUUGUGAAAUCUCCCGGCUUAACUGGGAGGGUGCAGCGGAAACUAGAGUGCUAGAGGGUGGGAGAGGUAAGCGGAAUUCCUGGUGUAGCGGUAAAAUGCGUAGAUAUCAGGAGGAACACCUGUGGUGUAGACAGCUUACUGGACCACUUCUGACGCUGAGACACGAAAGCGUGGGUAGCAAACAGG
RNAcentral lists this ribosomal RNA (253 nucleotides) under uncultured bacterium. RNAcentral's name for it is "partial 16S ribosomal RNA". It matches the Rfam family "Bacterial small subunit ribosomal RNA", at positions 524 to 776 of the family's 1533-position model. The record is from RNAcentral.